GAUGCUAAGCGAUGGUGAUCCAAAUUGAGCAGCAACUUUUCUGGCUUCGACGCUAGUCUCAGCAUCCUUCUCCUUUUGGGCUAAGAGCAUCAUAGUUUCAAGCAAACGGUCCAUCUUCGCUUGCAUAGAGUCAAUGUCUAUCCUCAUUGAAACUUGGUUUGCCUCAAGCUGUUCGAGCGUCAUCUUGUAGUUGCGGUGUGUCUCGUACCGGUGUCGAGUAGUCAACGUUAUUGGAUAAAGGGUAGAAUAUGG
This 252-nucleotide long non-coding RNA is filed under the name Lathyrus oleraceus (garden pea). RNAcentral describes it as "Pisum sativum (pea) long non-coding RNA (PSAT_LNC029623)". Lineage: Eukaryota; Viridiplantae; Streptophyta; Magnoliopsida; Fabales; Fabaceae. The record is from RNAcentral.